RNAcentral lists this ribosomal RNA (253 nucleotides) under uncultured Gemmata sp. Its description in RNAcentral is "partial 16S ribosomal RNA". It matches the Rfam family "Bacterial small subunit ribosomal RNA", at positions 524 to 776 of the family's 1533-position model. The record is from RNAcentral. Lineage: Bacteria; Pseudomonadati; Planctomycetota; Planctomycetia; Gemmatales; Gemmataceae.
GACGAACCGUGCGAACGUUGUUCGGAAUCACUGGGCUUAAAGGGCGCGUAGGCGGCUGUCCAAGUCCGGGGUGAAAUCCUGCAGCUUAACUGUAGAAGUGCCUCGGAUACUGGAUAGCUCGAGGGAGGUAGGGGUCUGUGGAACUUCUGGUGGAGCGGUGAAAUGCGUUGAUAUCAGAAGGAACGCCGGUGGCGAAAGCGACGGACUGGAUCUCUUCUGACGCUGAGGCGCGAAAGCUAGGGGAGCAAACGGG